Molecule: ribosomal RNA, 459 nt
Filed under: uncultured bacterium
Lineage: Bacteria
Description: partial 16S ribosomal RNA
Rfam family: Bacterial small subunit ribosomal RNA
Source: RNAcentral
CCUACGGGAGGCAGCAGUGAGGAAUAUUGGUCAAUGGGCGGGAGCCUGAACCAGCCAAGCCGCGUGAGGGAAGAAGGUACAGCGUAUCGUAAACCUCUUUUGUCAGGGGACAAAGGCGGGGACUAGUCCCCGGAUGAGGGUACCUGAAGAAAAAGCAUCGGCUAACUCCGUGCCAGCAGCCGCGGUAAUACGGAGGAUGCGAGCGUUAUCCGGAUUUGUUGGGUUAAAGGGGUGCGCAGGGGGCCUGUUAAGUCAGCGGGAAAAGCCCGGGGCUCAACCCCGGCGAGCCGUUGAAACUGGCGGGCUGGAGUUGGAGAGAGGUACGCGGAAUGCGCGGUGUAGCGGUGAAAUGCUUAGAUAUCGCGCAGAACCCCGAUUGCGAAGGCAGCGUACCGGCUCCACACUGACGCUGAGGCACGAAAGCGUGGGUAUCGAACAGGAUUAGAUACCCCUGUAGUC